This 509-nucleotide ribosomal RNA is filed under the name uncultured bacterium. Its description in RNAcentral is "bacterial SSU rRNA". It matches the Rfam family "Bacterial small subunit ribosomal RNA", at positions 28 to 525 of the family's 1533-position model. The record is from RNAcentral.
GAUUAACGCUAGCGGCAGGCCUAAUACAUGCAAGUCGAGGGGCAGCAGGGUGUAGCAAUACAUCGCUGGCGACCGGCGCACGGGUGCGUAACACGUAUGCAACCUACCUUUAACUGGGGGAAUAGCCCUCCGAAAGGAGGAUUAACACCGCAUAACAUCACGAGACGGCAUCGCCUUGUGAUCAAACCUCCGGGGGUUAAAAUGGGCAUGCGUCCGAUUAGCUAGUUGGCGGGGUAACGGCCCACCAAGGCGACGAUCGGUAGGGGGUCUGAGAGGAUGAUCAGCCACACUGGAACUGAGACACGGUCCAGACUCCUACGGGAGGCAGCAGUAGGGAAUAUUGGACAAUGGGGGCAACCCUGAUCCAGCCAUGCCGCGUGAGUGAAGAAGGCCCUCGGGUUGUAAAGCUCUUUUGUCCGGAAAGAAAAGCAAUCGGUUAAUACCCGGUUGUUCUGACGGUACCGGAAGAAUAAGCACCGGCUAACUACGUGCCAGCAGCCGCGGUAAGG